Long non-coding RNA from Varroa destructor (honeybee mite), 746 nucleotides. The record is from RefSeq and is a predicted model, not a curated record. NCBI's taxonomy places the organism in Eukaryota, Metazoa, Arthropoda, Arachnida, Mesostigmata, Varroidae.
GCAGAUUAAAAUGUUUUCUGUAACGUGCUGCUAGAUAGAAGUUGGCUUGUGGGAAUGGCUUAUGUGGAAAUGGCAUGCCGAGCGACAAUGUAUUGAAGCUAACUACGUAAAGGAGUGUGUAAUUUUGCGUCAACUUAUUGUAUGGGGCUAACUGGUAAAGGGAAGCUCCCUUUUGGUUGUGCGAAUCUUCUUCACGUCGCAUCAAACCGCCGAGAUCAUCCUGAGUUGUAUUCACGCGGUGUUAUAUACCAGCACGCGAGUGUUACUAAUACAUAAGCUCGCUACCAUGAUGCAGCUCGUGUCACUUUGACGAAAUUAGUUCGGGUGAUGUACAUAUGUAGAGUUUACAUAUGUAGACGGUAGGAGUCGCGCAUAUCUACCUACUUGCAAUAUGCCUGAUAGAGGCUUUUUAUUAUGUGAGUUCGAUUAAUUUCGUCUUAGGAAUCACCAAUUUUCAUUAGAGGAGCGCGGUAACGCCGAGCUAUGGCUAUACGCAUAUUGUAAUUCCUUAACUAAAGGAGCAGUCAGAGAAUCGCAGUGAUCCUAUGUAUACUGAGUGGAGAAUUUAUAGGUCUCUGGAGAACUUUUACGGAACGACGGCUAGCGACCUGAUAAUUUAUAAAAGACGUCAGCCGCCAUAAUAACUACAAUGGAUAAAGCAGCAGAUCAUUAGACGGCUUUUAGGAGUCUGAUUACCGAGGUCGUGACGCAUGUAUGGCACCGCGUCUCCGGUUGGAGCAUGUCAG